CCUACGGGUGGCAGCAGUGAGGAAUAUUGGUCAAUGGGCGGGAGCCUGCACCAGCCAAGCCGCUUGAAGGAAGCAGGCGCCAAGCGUCGUAAACUUCUUUUGUCGGGGAACAAAGGGCGCAACGUGUGGCGUUGUGAGUGUCACCGACGACACAGCCUCGGCUAACUCCGUACCAGCAGCAGCUGUAAUACGGAGGUUGCGAGCUUUAUCCGGAUUUAUUGGGUUUAAAGGGUGCAGAGGCGGUCCGGAAAGUCAUGGGUAAGAGCCCGGGGCACACCCCCGGCGAGCCGUUGAAACUGUCGGACUAGAGACGUCGAGAAGUACGUGGUAUGCGCGGUGUAGCGGUGACAUGCAGAGAUAUCGCGCAGAACUCCGAUUGCGAAGGCAGCGUACCGGCGCCGGACUGACGCUGAGGCACGAAAGCGUGGGUAUCGAACAGGAUUAGAUACCCGAGUAGUC
RNAcentral lists this ribosomal RNA (459 nucleotides) under uncultured bacterium. RNAcentral's name for it is "partial 16S ribosomal RNA". It matches the Rfam family "Bacterial small subunit ribosomal RNA", at positions 338 to 795 of the family's 1533-position model. The record is from RNAcentral.